UCAAAAUAUACCCAAGAUCAACAUCAGAAAGUUUUGGAUCUGGCGACGGAAGGCCAAGACCAAUUUCUACAUUGAAGAUUGCCAACAACACUGCUAACACAAUCAACACAAUCAGCACACUAAAUUAAAAUCUAACAGAACUACCAGUACUAAACACCAAUUUAACAAGGACCCAAUAGCUAAAUAAAAGAAGAAAAAGGAAAGACCAAUUAGGGAGUCAAAGAUUACCCAAAUUCAAUCAUCCCCCGUAGGAAACAGAGUGAGAACCUUCCUACCCCCGUUCCCACUCGCCGACUCCAAAUCCUCCACAUAUCCUGGAACUGUAUUAUGCACUGGCGCCCCCAUCCUAUGCACAGGCUGCUGUGUCUGUCUAGCUAGAAAGGGAUGUUCAAACUGCCCAUUUGGAGGUGACCCAAAGUGCCCCAUCUGCCUGUGGUACUGACUCUGCAACUGGGGAUGCGCCACUGCUGCGGCAGCUGCUGCAAUCUGCUGUUGGUGAUGAUGGUGUUGCAGUGCUGCCACUGGCACAAACGGCAAGAAAUGAUCGGAAUUAGGCCUCCCUGGAUGCAGGAAAUGCGCAGGUACUGGAGAACUCGCAAACAAAUGCUCAGUUGCAGCAUCAGACCCUGCGGCCAAUCCACCAGCCCCGCCACCACCAGUACCAUUAACACCACCAGCACC
RNAcentral lists this unclassified non-coding RNA (681 nucleotides) under Hevea brasiliensis (rubber tree). Lineage: Eukaryota; Viridiplantae; Streptophyta; Magnoliopsida; Malpighiales; Euphorbiaceae. The record is from RNAcentral.